AUCAGGAGGUUAGUGCAAUGGCAUAAGCCAGCUUGACUGCGAGCGUGACGGCGCGAGCAGGUGCGAAAGCAGGUCAUAGUGAUCCGGUGGUUCUGAAUGGAAGGGCCAUCGCUCAACGGAUAAAAGGUACUCCGGGGAUAACAGGCUGAUACCGCCCAAGAGUUCAUAUCGACGGCGGUGUUUGGCACCUCGAUGUCGGCUCAUCACAUCCUGGGGCUGAAGUAGGUCCCAAGGGUAUGGCUGUUCGCCAUUUAAAGUGGUACGCGAGCUGGGUUUAGAACGUCGUGAGACAGUUCGGUCCCUAUCUGCCGUGGGCGCUGGAGAACUGAGGGGGGCUGCUCCUAGUACGAGAGGACCGGAGUGGACGCAUCACUGGUGUUCGGGUUGUCAUGCCAAUGGCACUGCCCGGUAGCUAAAUGCGGAAGAGAUAAGUGCUGAAAGCAUCUAAGCACGAAACUUGCCCCGA
RNAcentral lists this ribosomal RNA (466 nucleotides) under Salmonella enterica. Its description in RNAcentral is "partial 23S ribosomal RNA". It matches the Rfam family "Bacterial large subunit ribosomal RNA", at positions 2337 to 2802 of the family's 2925-position model. Lineage: Bacteria; Pseudomonadati; Pseudomonadota; Gammaproteobacteria; Enterobacterales; Enterobacteriaceae. RNAcentral also lists the same sequence under 5 other names. The record is from RNAcentral.